This 203-nucleotide ribosomal RNA is filed under the name Shewanella sp. CZW3. RNAcentral describes it as "partial 16S ribosomal RNA". Lineage: Bacteria; Pseudomonadati; Pseudomonadota; Gammaproteobacteria; Alteromonadales; Shewanellaceae. The record is from RNAcentral.
AACAAUUUUCUCUGUAAGUACGUCACAGAUGAGCCGUAUUAAGACUCACCCUUUCCUCCCUACUGAAGUGCUUUACAACCCGAAGGCCUUCUUCACACACGCGGCAUGGCUGCAUCAGGGUUUCCCCCAUUGUGCAAUAUUCCCCACUGCUGCCUCCCGUAGGGGGGCGGGGGCGGCGGGCCGGGCGCGGGGCGCGGCGGGCG